This 803-nucleotide ribosomal RNA is filed under the name uncultured bacterium. RNAcentral describes it as "bacterial SSU rRNA". It matches the Rfam family "Bacterial small subunit ribosomal RNA", at positions 723 to 1529 of the family's 1533-position model. The record is from RNAcentral.
AGCCCCCUGGGAUAACACUGACGCUCAUGUACGAAAGCGUGGGUAGCAAACAGGAUUAGAUACCCUGGUAGUCCACGCCCUAAACGAUGUCAACUGGUUGUUGGGGGAGUGAAAUCCCUUAGUAACGAAGCUAACGCGUGAAGUUGACCGCCUGGGGAGUACGGUCGCAAGAUUAAAACUCAAAGGAAUUGACGGGGACCCGCACAAGCGGUGGAUGAUGUGGAUUAAUUCGAUGCAACGCGAAAAACCUUACCUACCCUUGACAUGUCCAGAACCCUGCAGAGAUGCGGGGGUGCCCGAAAGGGAAUUGGAACACAGGUGCUGCAUGGCUGUCGUCAGCUCGUGUCGUGAGAUGUUGGGUUAAGUCCCGCAACGAGCGCAACCCUUAUCAUUAGUUGCUACGCAAGGGCACUCUAAUGAGACUGCCGGUGACAAACCGGAGGAAGGUGGGGAUGACGUCAAGUCCUCAUGGCCCUUAUGGGUAGGGCUUCACACGUCAUACAAUGGUCGGUACAGAGGGUUGCCAAGCCGCGAGGUGGAGCCAAUCCCAGAAAGCCGAUCGUAGUCCGGAUUGUUCUCUGCAACUCGAGAGCAUGAAGUCGGAAUCGCUAGUAAUCGCGGAUCAGCAUGUCGCGGUGAAUACGUUCCCGGGUCUUGUACACACCGCCCGUCACACCAUGGGAGUGGAAUCUGGCAGAAGUAGGUAGCCUAACCGCAAGGAGGGCGCUUACCACGCUGGGUUUCAUGACUGGGGUGAAGUCGUAGCAAGGUAGCCGUAGGGGAACCUGCGGCUGGAUCACCUC